AAGUGCGGCAGGGCUGGGCAAGGUCACCAGCCUCACUUACUCCUCCAGAGCCAGCUGGGGCCAGUUUCUAUUCUGGCUUGUUUGUACGUAUUUGUUUGUUGUCUUCUCCGUUCGAUUGGAAGCUCCUUGAGGGCAGGGACUAUUUUUUUUUAACUUGUGUUUGUCUUUCCAGGUUUAACAAUGCACUUGGCAUGUAGUAAGCACUUAAUAAAUGCUUGUUUGCUGACUAAGGAAGAACAUCACCAGCAGAAGACAACAGAAUUCAGAGAACAGUCCUGAUGUCACUUACAGUCCUCUUCGAGAACAAAGGACAAACAACAGUGACAAAGGAGGGAGUCUUCACAUCUGAGCCAACCACCUCAAGGCUGUUAGAAGAUAUGAAAUCUCCAGAGAUCAGCCUGGCUGCCAUUCUGAUCUCUGCCCCAGGGCUGAUGACGGUAACCCCCAGAGGAGAUCAAGGGACUUCAUAACUUAUUUUAAGAAUCUCUCAAGAUUCCUGAGAAAGCUGCAACCUAAAACAGAAGGCUUUCCGUAAUCAUGUGGCUCAAUGGAAAGAAUGCUGUCCCGAGGUCAAAAGACCUGAGUUCAAAUGACUCCAAAUUCAACAUUCAUUCCAUACUAGCUUUUUUUCCCCCCCAGAUAAAGAACUACAAGGGAAGUGAAGGGCACAAAAAAUGCCCGUGACUAAGUGUAAGGACUUGAACAAUUCACUUCAUUGUCUUUGAACCUCAGUUUUCUCAUUUGAAAGAUGGAGAUAAAAGGAGUCAGAUGUACUACCUCCCUUACAGGGCUGAUGCAAGAAUCAGGUGGCUAUAAAGACCUCUGCAAUUACAGCUGGAAUUCAAAUUACCCUUGUCAUUCAAUUCAAUUCAAUGUGCAUUUUAUUAAGUGCUUUUGGGAUUCCAAGCCAUAGACUAAGUGUUAGAGAUACAAAGACAGAGAGGAAACAGACCCUGACCUCAAGGAAUUUAUUCCAUUCUAUAGGAAGGGGAGAAAAUAUGUCUGUUGAUAAAUAAAUACAAGGCGGGAGAAGAGCA
Phascolarctos cinereus (koala) is the source of this 1037-nucleotide long non-coding RNA. Lineage: Eukaryota; Metazoa; Chordata; Mammalia; Diprotodontia; Phascolarctidae. The record is from Ensembl.